ACUCAAAUGAAUUGACGGGGACCCGCACAACCGGUGGAGCGUGUGGUUCAAUUCGAGACGAAGCGAAAAACCUUACCAGGGCUUGACAUACUAUCGUUUUAUACCUAUGGAAACACUGGUAGAUCCGCAAGGAUGAUAGUACAGGUGCUGCAUGGCUGUCGUCAGCUCGUGCCGUGAGGUGUUCCCUUAAGUGGGGAAACGAGCGCAACCCCCGCGUAAUGUUAAAUAUUCAUUGCGGACAGGUCCGAUUUUGUCGGACAGGAAGGAGGGGAAGACGUCAAGUCAGCACGGCCCUUAUGCCCUGGGUAACACACACCCUACAAUGGCGAAGAACAAUGAGUUGCAAGCGCGCGAGUGCAAGCUAAUCUCUGAAAUUUCGCCUCAGUUCAGAUUGGAGUCUGCAACCCGACUCCAUGAAGUCGGAAUCGGUAGUAAUCGCGGAUCAGCAGGCCGCGGUGAAUACGUUCUCGGGUCUUGUACACACCGCCCGU
Molecule: ribosomal RNA, 491 nt
Filed under: uncultured bacterium
Lineage: Bacteria
Description: partial 16S ribosomal RNA
Rfam family: Bacterial small subunit ribosomal RNA
Source: RNAcentral